GACGAACGCUGGCGGCGUGCUUAACACAUGCAAGUCGAACGGAAAGGCCCUGCUUUUGUGGGGUGCUCGAGUGGCGAACGGGUGAGUAACACGUGAGUAAACUGCCCUUGACUUUGGGAUAACUUCAGGAAACUGGGGCUAAUACCGGAUAGGAGCUCCUGCUGCAUGGUGGGGGUUGGAAAGUUUCGGCGGUUGGGGAUGGACUCGCGGCUUAUCAGCUUGUUGGUGGGGUAGUGGCUUACCAAGGCUUUGACGGGUAGCCGGCCUGAGAGGGUGACCGGGCACAUUGGGACUGAGGUACGGCGCAGACUGCUACGGGAGGCAGAAGUGGGGAAUAUUGCACAAUGGGCGGAAGCCUGAUGCAGCAACGUCGCGUGCGUGAUGACGGCCUUCGGGUUGUAAACCGCUUUCGCCUGUGACGAAGCGUGAGUGACGGUAAUGGGUAAAAAAGCACCGGCUAACUACGUG
RNAcentral lists this ribosomal RNA (468 nucleotides) under uncultured bacterium. RNAcentral describes it as "partial 16S ribosomal RNA". It matches the Rfam family "Bacterial small subunit ribosomal RNA", at positions 28 to 507 of the family's 1533-position model. The record is from RNAcentral.